This 499-nucleotide ribosomal RNA is filed under the name uncultured bacterium. Its description in RNAcentral is "partial 16S ribosomal RNA". It matches the Rfam family "Bacterial small subunit ribosomal RNA", at positions 28 to 507 of the family's 1533-position model. The record is from RNAcentral.
GACGAACGCUGGCGGCGUGCUUAACACAUGCAAGUCGAACGGGCCCGCCCCUGUUUUUGGGGGUGGGUUGAGUGGCGAACGGGUGAGUAUCACGUGAGUAACCUGCCCCCUGCUCCUGGAUAACUGCUUGAAAGGGCGGCUAAUACGGGGUGUGCCGGCUGGUCCGCAUGGGCCUGGUCGGGAUAGUUUCAUCUUCGGGUGUUUCGGUGGGGGAUGGGCUCGCGGCCUAUCAGCUUGUUGGUGGGGUGAUGGCCCACCAAGGCGGUGACGGGUAGCCGGCCUGGGAGGGUGGGCGGCCACACUGGGACUGAGACACGGCCCAGACUCCUGCGGGAGGCAGCAGUGGGGGGUAUUGCACAAUGGGCGGAAGCCUGAUGCAGCGACGUCGCGUGAGGGAUGGAGGCCUUCGGGUUGUGAACCUCUUUCUCCGGUGGGGAAGGCCCUGUCCGGUGCGGCGGGGUUGACGGUAGCCGGGGAUGAAGCGCCGGCUAACUACGUG